UACGUAGGGGGCAAGCGUUAUCCGGAUUUACUGGGUGUAAAGGGAGCGUAGACGGCUGUGCAAGUCAGAAGUGAAAGCCCGGGGCUCAACCGCGGGACUGCUUUUGAAACUGUGUAGCUAGAGUGCAGGAGAGGUAAGUGGAAUUCCUAGUGUAGCGGUGAAAUGCGUAGAUAUUAGGAGGAACACCGGUGGCGAAGGCGGCUUACUGGACUGUAACUGACGUUGAGGCUCGAAAGCGUGGGGAGCAAACAGG
Molecule: ribosomal RNA, 253 nt
Filed under: uncultured bacterium
Lineage: Bacteria
Description: partial 16S ribosomal RNA
Rfam family: Bacterial small subunit ribosomal RNA
Source: RNAcentral